RNAcentral lists this ribosomal RNA (253 nucleotides) under uncultured bacterium. Its description in RNAcentral is "partial 16S ribosomal RNA". It matches the Rfam family "Bacterial small subunit ribosomal RNA", at positions 524 to 776 of the family's 1533-position model. The record is from RNAcentral.
UACGUAGGGUGCAAGCGUUGUCCGGAAUUAUUGGGCGUAAAGAGCUCGUAGGCGGUUUGUCGCGUCGAAUGUGAAAACCCGGGGCUCAACCCCGGGCCUGCAUUCGAUACGGGCAGACUAGAGUUCGGUAGGGGAGUCUGGAAUUCCUGGUGUAGCGGUGGAAUGCGCAGAUAUCAGGAGGAACACCGGUGGCGAAGGCGGGAUCCUGGGCCAGUACUGACGCUGAGGAGCGAAAGCGUGGGGAGCAAACAGG